This 92-nucleotide transfer RNA is filed under the name Serratia phage X20. RNAcentral's name for it is "tRNA-Ser". It matches the Rfam family "tRNA". Rfam says of the family: Transfer RNA (tRNA) molecules are approximately 80 nucleotides in length. Their secondary structure includes four short double-helical elements and three loops (D, anti-codon, and T loops). Lineage: Duplodnaviria; Heunggongvirae; Uroviricota; Caudoviricetes; Pantevenvirales; Straboviridae. The record is from RNAcentral.
GGAAGAUUGGCAGAGAGGCUAAUUGCACCGCACUUGAAAUGCGGAGGUCCUGGCGACAGGUCCCGUGAGUUCGAAUCUCACAUCUUCCUCCA